UAAGUCAGUUGGUCACCGAGCCUCAGCUCGAGCGCAACGUUUUAUUGUCGUCUCUAAAAAAUGUUUUAAGUUCUUGAUUUUAUUUUUACCAUUUUUCUGGUAGUCUGUGACGUGUGACACGGACAAGAAUGAAAAGGAAUUUUGAAGGAGCAUUUAGUUGUAUAUUUCGCUUCUUCUUUUUUUUUUGCUGUUGCGACGUCAAUUCUUUUUGUUAUUCAACCGUUGUUUCUGCCUUUGCUUUUGGCGUUCCUAGAGAAGUGGCAGCCGGUCUCACGUCACGCCAUGUUUGAUUGGCUCACGGACAAGGUGCUGGACAUUCAAGCACCAGAAAAUAACCCCAAGAGGCUAAAUGGUUGUCCAAGGGCGGCCAACAACAUUUGGAGACUGAGUUGAUAGUCAAGUGGUAGUGUUGAGAGAAGAAUGGCCACUUUGUGGCAGCCAUUCGAGUUGUCUCCUGUCUUUCUCGACUCCACAACAUGGCCAUCAGUUGGAGAAUCCAGCUGGCCACUUCCUCGAUGAGAUGUUGGAGAAAACAGAAGUUGCCAAAGUUUAUUCCCAAGUCUGGAGGCCGUCUCCAGAGUGCUUGGUGUGGAUGUAAUGAGCAAGUUGCAUUUCAGCUUGCAGGACUGACUCAACUCUAUGAGCAAAUCUCUUCUCGUUUGGGUCUGUGCAAGUGCAAGCUGGCUCGCUUUACACUACUCCAAUUACUACUGACUGCCAACAUUUGGCAGAACACAGCAGCAGUUCACACCUAGACCUCCAGUUUACUGCUUCAUUGGCUUGGGGAACAUUGUGCCAAUGGACGUGGCUUCCCAUGUUCCCUCUGAUUGGAGCCGCCCAUCUCGACUCAUCCGCCAGGAUCCAACAAGCCCUCGACGAAAUCCCUAGGGUUUCGCUUUUUAAGACCACGGUGCCCUUUAAUCGAGACUAAAGCUUUUUACGAGGCUAAUCAAAUUUAAUGGGUCUCCUCCAAAGCUCCUUAUCCAUUAUCCUUACGCCAUUCUGGACUACUACCGACACCGAUUGGAUUUAAUCAGCAACACGACGUGCCUGGAUCGCCAAUAUCUGGUCAAUUGGUCAUGGAUCAACUCUCGGAGAACCUCGGCAUAAUUCUCAAAUCAAUGGCCGACGAAUCAUUGCUCUACGAAUUGUUUCGUUUUGUCGAUCUCAUCGAUCUCGCUACCUUCUCUUAUUAUUCGCCAACGGUUGACAACUAUGAAGACAUGUACUAUCAUCAGAGCCCCUGUGAGUACAGUAAAUAACACUGGGGUUCCCUGGCCCAACUUUUUCGAUUCUUACGAUUCGGGAGGGGUGCCCACACUCCGUCAACUACAACAAUCACCGUUCGUCCAUGAAUUGUACCAUCAACUUGUUCCAGUUCCUCCAGUUAUACUCGACGUCCUGCGACUAGCUUCAAGCCAAGGCCCACCAUAGGCCUCCAUCCACCAGGCCUCGAUCUCCUGGCUCAUAUUGGAAUCUUCCAAUUGUACCCACAGCAGUACUCAUCGGGAAUAUACUCCACUUCCGACAUCCGCCUCCUGUCGACUACCACGGUACCAUCCGGCCGAGUAGCAUUCGUCCAACUCCAAAAAUUCCAUCCACUGCGGCCCGUCCAUAUACUAGACGCCCUUCUCUUUCGAGCCAGACCAGCUACACACCGGAUUUCUGAAGGAAAUAUCGCCUUCCGGCGUCCCGACUUCAACUCCGGAUUCCGCCCUGUGUAUUUUCUCAACGUCUUGAAGACCACGAAAUCUGCGAUUGAUCUCCAUACACACCGCCGCUGCCUUUGUUCAGACAUUUUUGUUUAUUUUUUGACAACACUAAGGAAAUACGAACAUUGGUACAGAGAGAUGCCAAACUUCCGCUAAGAUAUCCAAGUCCCAAUGGGCUACCAUAGAACGCCGAUCUUUUUUUCGGUGUGAUUCGGUGAAGAGUAGCAGAGGAUGUGCUGACGGCAUGCACUCAAGGUGAAAUCUACUGCCACGAAAUUCUAGCUGGUCUCUUUCUUACAGCAUGGUAGAUAAGUCGUAAUCACGGCCACUCGCCAGCGCUUGAGGAAAUGAAACAAUCCCAGCCAUAGCCUUGCCUAACCGCGCCUACCUACCCACUGAUCAUCAUCAACCUCAACCACCCAACGCUAGAAGCUGUCCUGUACCAGAAAAUUAACAGACAUAUUAACCUUGCAAAAAAUAUGCUCAGGAUUCGGACAAAUUUGCGCAAAUUUGUCACUAAAGGCGACUAAAGACGCGUCUGGAUUCAAGUUCCCAUCUUUGGUGUGUUCAAGGUUCAGCAACUCGAAUUGGAUACAGCUCAAAGACAAAAGUUGGAAGAGAAAGUUUCUCAGAUAUGGGCCCAUAAGGAAAUGAACGAGGACACUAAAGCAGUUUACGUUUUUUUUUCAACCUCCCUGGAAUACGGUGCUGCAUACUGUAUCUCAGGACUUGCCUACGACGGAGCAUGAUGUUGUCAAGCGGCCUGACGGUGCAAUAGCGCAAAACUACAUUCGAGCACCGUCAGCCCGACGGUGCAAUAGAAUUUUCGACAUGAUGAGCUGGCGUUUACCUCCAACUACACGUGAUACGCCUACAGGUUGAGAAAGGUCCAGCAUUUGGUUUGCGUCGAGGAGGAAUUAUACGUCAGGAUGAAAUUUUCUAAUAAAUUGACGCUGACAAUUCCGACCUGCCCGGCGCCAUUCUGCAGAGACAGGCGUCAUCCGCCAGCAGUUUGCCUAUCAACUGCGGCGACAACAGCGAACCACACGAAUGGCCCGACAGCAAUACACGGUGGCCCCUUUCGUCAGCCCAUAGCCGGGCAAGAAAUCUCGCCACGUCCUGAAAGAAGGGUUGGAUUAUUUAAAUCUCAAACUGGGCGGAUUUGAUUAUUAAAUUUAAAUCACAGGCUGAAGUCAGCUGUGUAGAUGAUUUCCAAAUUAGGUCUUAAACGACAGUCAUAUUUUUUCAGAUGAUGCUAAUGUAAUCGACAUUCCAAUCGGCCCCUCCUCCUUUUACCCUCCGGUUUACACACAAUCAAAUGUAUUUUUCUUUUUUUUUUUUUUAAAUCUGAUUAUUAUUUUAGAGAGAAUUUGACUUGGGGCAGAGUUGACUGUGUACUUGUGCAGCCUUCCCCCCAUGACCCGUUAGAUGAUAAGAAAUGAAAACAAGAAAUUCUAUUGAUGAUUCCAUUGUUUCUGUACACACAUUUGACUCCUCCCACUAUUUGCUUUUGCAACCCCAUUCAACGACGCUAAGAACCGCGCCGUUGCUUUUUUUCUUUUCCGUGUUCCUUCUGUUUAAUUUCGUUUUUCCUUUCCCGUCAACAACGAAAAAACAUCUCCGUCCUUUUUGCGACGCCCCACAUUCCAUCACACACACACCAGAUUUUAAAAGAAAAGUUACUACAAAAAACAUAUUUUGACAGUGUGCGCGUAGUGAGUAUUUGUGUGCAUCAUGUAGCCCAUUCCAGCAGAAAAAAAGGAAACAAAAAG
This 3484-nucleotide long non-coding RNA is filed under the name Daphnia pulicaria. Its description in RNAcentral is "uncharacterized LOC124315985, transcript variant X1". Lineage: Eukaryota; Metazoa; Arthropoda; Branchiopoda; Diplostraca; Daphniidae. The record is from RNAcentral.